Molecule: non-coding RNA, 109 nt
Organism: Acanthosepion pharaonis
Lineage: Eukaryota; Metazoa; Mollusca; Cephalopoda; Sepiida; Sepiidae
Source: the annotation of a GenBank genome assembly
UUACAACCAUAGCAUGUUGAAACACCGGUUCUUGUUCGAUUACCGAAGUUAAGCAACGUUUAACCUUGUCUGUACCGAGAUGGCUGAUCACUAGGGAAUACCAGGUGCU